GAUCACCGCACCUUCAUGUAGCGUUCGGUUCAGGUAUAAAUAAGAACUAACUAUUACAGGAAUAUGUACAAAUAUAGGGAUAAGAAAAAUAACGUUUGGAUAAAAAUUGGGUUGUUUUUGGAAUAAGAAAAAUAAUGUUUGGAUAGAUAAUAUGAAAUAAGAAAAAUAGUGGAUAGUUUUAUAUAGAAAAUGAAGGUGUUGGUGGGAAUAAUUAUACUCAGUUAUUAUAGAUAACCAAAAAUUACUAUUUUCGGAUACAAAAUUAACUUUUGGAUAUAAAGGGAAUAACGGGUUAUCCCUAUCCUCAUCCCCUAUCCAAAC
Molecule: long non-coding RNA, 321 nt
Filed under: Ananas comosus (pineapple)
Lineage: Eukaryota; Viridiplantae; Streptophyta; Magnoliopsida; Poales; Bromeliaceae
Description: long non-coding RNA (ACOM_LNC004261)
Source: RNAcentral